UCUCUUCUCUUUCCCUCUUUUCUAGUUCUAACUCAACUCAUCAACGCAUGUCUCUGCUCGAUCGCCGGUAGGGGUAUAACUUUUGUGCAAAGACUGCAUCUCUCUGAGGUUCUCGGUCCAUAAUCAUGAUUUGGUAAUUUCUUGUUUCACAUUGACGUUCAUUAUCAGUGGCGGGAUUGCAUGAAGGAAUGGAUGGGUUCUAUUUAGCCUGCAAAAUACGCCCAUAUUUUCCCAUCCGGCUAGCAGAGGUAGGAGCUACGAGGAAAGCUGAAGCAUCGGGAGCAGAGGUGGGGAUGACAAUAGAGCAAGCAAUAACUGAUCUUGAAGCCAUAGCCCAAGCUGGGUCAAAUCCAUUUUUCAAGGGGUUUAGAGAUCGAUGCCAUAGCCCAAGCUGGGUCAAAUCAGAUUAUGGAGUCGACAAGUAUGGCAUUGGCAUUGGGUUUGGACACUUUGCAAUUGCAAUUGAAGAUGUAUAUUAAUAGUGUUGGACUAGCUGGAGAGAUUCCAAGUACCUUCAGAAAUCUACAGAAAUUGAAGAAAGCGUGAGAUUCUGCUAUAAAUCUUCACAACCUGUGUUCUUUAUGUUAGAAUUACAAACAUCAUAAUAUGUUCCAACCAUUGAGAGUGUAGACAUCCUUAUUUUUGUUUUGUCUUAGAGAUGGGCAUUUGAUAAUCUGUUUUCAAUUGCAUAGAAUCGAGAAUUAACAAUUA
This is a long non-coding RNA of Cryptomeria japonica (Japanese cedar), 711 nucleotides long. RefSeq lists it as uncharacterized. The transcript is spliced from 3 exons. NCBI's taxonomy places the organism in Eukaryota, Viridiplantae, Streptophyta, Pinopsida, Cupressales, Cupressaceae. The record is from RefSeq and is a predicted model, not a curated record.